AUUGAACGCUGGCGGAAUGCUUUACACAUGCAAGUCGAACGGUAGAGGGGGCAACCCCUUGAGAGUGGCGAACGGGUGAGUAAUAUAUCGGAACGUGCCCAGUCGUGGGGAUAACGUAGCGAAAGUUACGCUAAUACCGCAUACGAUCUAAGGAUGAAAGCGGGGGAUCGCAAGACCUCGCGCGAUUGGAGCGGCCGAUAUCAGAUUAGGUAGUUGGUGAGGUAAAGGCUCACCAAGCCAACGAUCUGUAGCUGGUCUGAGAGGACGACCAGCCACACUGGAACUGAGACACGGUCCAGACUCCUACGGGAGGCAGCAGUGGGGAAUUUUGGACAAUGGACGCAAGUCUGAUCCAGCCAUUCCGCGUGCAGGAUGAAGGCCCUCGGGUUGUAAACUGCUUUUGUACGGAACGAAAAGGUCCCUAUUAAUAACUAGGGGCUCAUGACGGUACCGUAAGAAUAAGCACCGGCUAACUAACGUGCAGCAGCCGCGGUAAAGU
RNAcentral lists this ribosomal RNA (499 nucleotides) under uncultured bacterium. Its description in RNAcentral is "bacterial SSU rRNA". It matches the Rfam family "Bacterial small subunit ribosomal RNA", at positions 30 to 527 of the family's 1533-position model. The record is from RNAcentral.